AAUAGAUACCCCGGUAGUCCACGCCGUAAACGAUGAGUGCUAAGUGUUAGAGGGUUUCCGCCCUUUAGUGCUGCAGCUAACGCAUUAAGCACUCCGCCUGGGGAGUACGGUCGCAAGACUGAAACUCAAAGGAAUUGACGGGGGCCCGCACAAGCGGUGGAGCAUGUGGUUUAAUUCGAAGCAACGCGAAGAACCUUACCAGGUCUUGACAUCCUCUGACAACUCUAGAGAUAGAGCGUUCCCCUUCGGGGGACAGAGUGACAGGUGGUGCAUGGUUGUCGUCAGCUCGUGUCGUGAGAUGUUGGGUUAAGUCCCGCAACGAGCGCAACCCUUGAUCCUAGUUGCCAGCAUUUAGUUGGGCACUCUAAGGUGACUGCCGGUGACAAACCGGAGGAAGGUGGGGAUGACGUCAAAUCAUCAUGCCCCUUAUGACCUGGGCUACACACGUGCUACAAUGGAUGGUACAAAGGGCUGCAAGACCGCGAGGUCAAGCCAAUCCCAUAAAACCAUUCUCAGUUCGGA
Molecule: ribosomal RNA, 522 nt
Filed under: uncultured bacterium
Lineage: Bacteria
Description: bacterial SSU rRNA
Rfam family: Bacterial small subunit ribosomal RNA
Source: RNAcentral